RNAcentral lists this ribosomal RNA (492 nucleotides) under uncultured bacterium. RNAcentral describes it as "partial 16S ribosomal RNA". It matches the Rfam family "Bacterial small subunit ribosomal RNA", at positions 29 to 507 of the family's 1533-position model. The record is from RNAcentral.
AGUGAACGCUGGCGGUAGGCCUAACACAUGCAAGUCGAGCGGAAGCAGGGUAAGUGCUUCUUCUUUCGGCUGCCGACUGGCGAGCAGUUCCGAAAAACCUCCGUAUCUACUUUUUCGUACGUGCUAAAACGGGCACUCAUACGCCAUUCGUCCAGACGGCCUACGGGUGAGAUCAGCGGAUCUCACGCUCUCGCGUGAGCCUAUGUCCCGAUGUCGGAUUAGCUAGUUGGCGGGGUAAAGGCCCACCAAGGCGACGAUCCGUAGCUGGUCUGAGAGGAUGAUCAGUCACACUGGAACUGAGACACGGUCCAGACUCCUACGGGAGGCAGCAGUGGGGAAUAUUGGACAAUGGGCGCAAGCCUGAUCCAGCCAUGCCGCGUGGGUGAAGAAGGUCUUCGGGUUGUAAAGCCCUUUUGUUGGGGAAGAAAAGCAGUAAGUUAAUACCCUGCUGUUCUGACGGUACCCAAAGAAUAAGCACCGGCUAACUUCGUG